GAUGAACGCUGGCGGCGUGCCUAAUACAUGCAAGUCGAGCGAACAGACGAGGAGCUUGCUCCUCUGACGUUAGCGUCGGACGGGUGAGUACCACGUGGAUAACCUCCCUAUAAGACUGGGAUAACUUCGGGAAACCGGCGCUAAUACCGGAUAAUAUAUUGAACCGCAUGGUUCAAUAGUGAAAGACGGUUUUGCUGUCACUUAUUGAUGGAUCCGCGCCGCAUUAGCUAGUUGGUAAGGUAACGGCUUACCAAGGCGACGAUGCGUAGCCGACCUGAGAGGGUGAUCGGCCACACUGGAACUGAGACACGGUCCAGACUCCUACGGGAGGCAGCAGUAGGGAAUCUUCCGCAAUGGGCGAAAGCCUGACGGAGCAACGCCGCGUGAGUGAUGAAGGUCUUCGGAUCGUAAAACUCUGUUAUUAGGGAAGAACAAAUGUGUAAGUAACUAUGCACGUCUUGACGGUACCUAAUCAGAAAGCCACGGCUAACUACGUG
This 497-nucleotide ribosomal RNA is filed under the name uncultured bacterium. RNAcentral describes it as "partial 16S ribosomal RNA". It matches the Rfam family "Bacterial small subunit ribosomal RNA", at positions 28 to 507 of the family's 1533-position model. The record is from RNAcentral.